This 858-nucleotide long non-coding RNA is filed under the name Musa acuminata (dwarf banana). RNAcentral's name for it is "long non-coding RNA (MACU_LNC000265)". The record is from RNAcentral. Lineage: Eukaryota; Viridiplantae; Streptophyta; Magnoliopsida; Zingiberales; Musaceae.
UUAGAGAAGGGCUUGUCAUGUUUAGAGGGUUGCACUUAUUUGCCAAUUGACAACCCAAGUUAAUCAGUGACAGAAUAGGACUUCUGAGUUCUGAUUGUUAUCAUUAUUUUCAGUAGCGAAAUAAAGAGAAUAAUUUUCCUACCAUCUGCUUAAGGUAGUAAGAUAAUUCUAUCAUGCUCUCAUAAACAAAUAAUCACAAUACCAAAAAAGGAUAAAUCAGAAUUUUAACCAUAAUUACCUGAGCAUUCCCUCACUCUUUUUGACUUAGCAGAUGCUUCUACAUUACCAUUUUCUUGUGCAGUGGAUCCUGAUGGCAAUGCAGCACAAGCGGGAGGCAAAACUGGGGACCAAGUCUUGGACACAAGCUUCUUAUUUGGUGAUGAAUUGUGGCCUGCUGACAAAUUGGAUUUCACUAAAACAGCUAUCAAAGCAAAGCCAGAGUUUAACUUUGUGGUAAGCAGGUAUGAUCUUAUGAAAGCUGGUUGUCUUACAAGCCUUAAAAAAUUUAGAAGCAGUGAGAAUACUUGUUAGAGACUUUUUGUCCAAUAAUGAACUGUUCUUUCUAGUUUCCUAUUCUAAGUUGAUUCAUGCAAUAAAAUGCAACUUUUUUCUCAAUUACAUGAAAGAAUCAAGGGCAGUAGAAUGCAAUAUGUUACCUGUAAACCUUGAACCAUCUGCAUACAUUUUUGUGAAAAUAAUUCAUUCUGCUGCCUCUGGUGUUGGUUUCCAUUUUAACACGGGAGUAGAUGCAGCUGUAAAAUGAUUAACUAAGAGGUCAGCUUCUCACCUGAUUUGGCGGGAGCCCUGACAGAAGCACAAAAAGCAGCUGAUUACUUCAUCUAAGGCUUUAUCAAAUUG